AGGUGAUGAUGUUUGAACUCACGAUGGUCUGCAGAGCUCCCUCUUGUGAACGGGGGCUGCUGAAAAGGCCGGUCUGGCAAUUGCUGAGCCACAGGC
Small nucleolar RNA from Hemicordylus capensis (graceful crag lizard), 96 nucleotides. RefSeq annotates it as small nucleolar RNA SNORD35. Lineage: Eukaryota; Metazoa; Chordata; Lepidosauria; Squamata; Cordylidae. The record is from RefSeq and is a predicted model, not a curated record. The transcript has a single exon.